This 919-nucleotide ribosomal RNA is filed under the name Nectriaceae sp. LM388. RNAcentral describes it as "eukaryotic LSU rRNA". The stretch from base 1 to 357 matches the Rfam family "Eukaryotic small subunit ribosomal RNA", at positions 1474 to 1831 of the family's 1831-position model. The record is from RNAcentral. Lineage: Eukaryota; Fungi; Ascomycota; Sordariomycetes; Hypocreales; Nectriaceae.
AAGAGUUCUGGGCCGCACGCGCGCUACACUGACGGAGCCAGCGAGUACUUCCUUGGCCGAAAGGCCCGGGUAAUCUUGUUAAACUCCGUCGUGCUGGGGAUAGAGCAUUGCAAUUAUUGCUCUUCAACGAGGAAUCCCUAGUAAGCGCAAGUCAUCAGCUUGCGUUGAUUACGUCCCUGCCCUUUGUACACACCGCCCGUCGCUACUACCGAUUGAAUGGCUCAGUGAGGCGUCCGGACUGGCCCAGGGAGGUGGGCAACUACCACCCAGGGCCGGAAAGCUCUCCAAACUCGGUCAUUUAGAGGAAGUAAAAGUCGUAACAAGGUCUCCGUUGGUGAACCAGCGGAGGGAUCAUUACCGAGUUAUUCAACUCAUCAACCCUGUGAACUUACCUAAACGUUGCUUCGGCGGGAAUAGACGGCCCCGUAAAACGGGCCGCCCCCGCCAGAGGACCCUUAACUCUGUUUCUUAUAGUGUUUCUUCUGAGUAAAACAAGCAAAUAAAUUAAAACUUUCAACAACGGAUCUCUUGGCUCUGGCAUCGAUGAAGAACGCAGCGAAAUGCGAUAAGUAAUGUGAAUUGCAGAAUUCAGUGAAUCAUCGAAUCUUUGAACGCACAUUGCGCCCGCCAGUAUUCUGGCGGGCAUGCCUGUUCGAGCGUCAUUACAACCCUCAGGCCCCCGGGCCUGGCGUUGGGGAUCGGCGGAGCCCCCCGUGGGCACACGCCGUCCCCCAAAUACAGUGGCGGUCCCGCCGCAGCUUCCAUCGCGUAGUAGCUAACACCUCCCGACUGGAGAGCGGCGCGGCCACCCCGUAAAACACCCACUCUUCUGAAAUUGACCUCGAAUCAGGUAGGAAUACCGCUGAACUUAACAUAUCAUUAGCGGAGGAAAGAAACCCACCGGGAUGGCCCCGUACGC